AGAAUGAACGCUGGCGGCGUGCUUAACACAUGCAAGUCGAACGGAAUCCAAGGAGCUUGCUCUGGAAGAUUUAGUGGCGAACGGGUGAGUAUCACGUGAGCAACCUGCCCCGAAGACUGGGAUAACACCGGGAAACCGGUGCUAAUACCGGAUACCUUCCAAUGACCGCAUGGUCGAUGGAAGAAAUGUUUUUCGCUUCGGGAGGGGCUCGCGGUCCAUCAGCUUGUUGGCGGGUAACGGCCCACCAAGGCUUCGACGGAUAGCUGGUCUGAGAGGACGAUCAGCCACACUGGAACUGAGACACGGUCCAGACUCCUACGGGAGGCAGCAGUGGGGAAUCUUGCGCAAUGGACGAAAGUCUGACGCAGCAACGCCGCGUGAGGGACGAAGGUUUUCUGAAUUGUAAACCUCUUUCGACAGGGACAUAAUGACGGUACCUGUAGAAGAGCACCGGCCAACUAUGUGCCAGCAGCCGCGGU
RNAcentral lists this ribosomal RNA (479 nucleotides) under uncultured bacterium. Its description in RNAcentral is "SSU rRNA". It matches the Rfam family "Bacterial small subunit ribosomal RNA", at positions 26 to 521 of the family's 1533-position model. The record is from RNAcentral.